UUUUCUUUUGAUCCUCACAGAGAGAAUAUAUGAAUAUUUGUAUAUUUAAGUAUGUUUGAUGGGCACGAACCCAUGUUUUAUACACUAGAUAUAUUUUAACAGGUUUUAUGUAUUCUGUUAGCUAUAGACUCAAGGGAAACUCUAUCAGUUUUUCAGGUUACAUCGGUCUCUGUAGGUUAAGAACAGGUGUGACAGUUUUAUUAUGUACUGCAAGUUUAUUUUGAGAUUAAUGAAUUCAUGCUAACCUAACCUUUAAUCUGAAUGAAAGAACAUGCUACGUCCUACGACUGUAUUGCUUCAUACCUGCGAAUGCAAAUUAGUGGGAAUCUGCAAGAGUUCAGAACAUACCCUAAAUAGAAACUCCAUUAUUCACUUUAAAAUCUAUAGUACAGCUUUAAACAUUUUUAUUUAUGUAUUUUAAUAUGCUACAAUCUUAGUAUUGUGAUAAAGAAGGAACUACAAAUUGCACUUCUCUAUGCAUUAGUUGGUUGUGUUGUUCUAUGCAUGCAUGGAACUCCCAACCCAUCAACCUUAGGCUACAGUUGUGAAAAGAUUCUUCCUUUAUUACCCUGACCUAUUACUCCAGAUUUUUGAAAUCCAUGUGAUACUCCAUCACUUGUAUCAAAUAAAUUCAUCCCCCCCUCCCCUCCCCGCAGCAUGUUUUCAAUGAAAAAGCUCAUUCCUUGAACUCCUUGAGUAGUGUACUUACCUAAUGUAAUUCUUAUAACUUUCUUUCUGCGGUUGAAUGACUUAAAUAUUAUUUGAUUUUUUUUUAUUUGCAGGUUAAAGGUUGUGGAGAGGCUUCAUGUGGCUCUCUAUUUUUCAGCUCCAAUCCAAGGCUAUUUGUUGGGUAUUCUGUCUGCAUGUCUAUCAGCUUUGGCUGGUGUCUAUACGGAGUUUCUGAUGAAGAAGAACAAUGACAGCUUGUACUGGCAGAAUGUGCAAUUGUAUACGUAGGUCCUUUUUCUCCAUUCAAUGGCUUGCUCAUAGCAUUUUUUAAUGUACUAUGCAUUUUGAUUAUUACAAUUCCUGUCCAUUUUUGUUUGCUGUUUAGAAUGGCAAUUGAGAACAUUGGAAAAUUCCUAGUCUUGUUGCAGUUUCUCAAAAGACUUGGUAAUAUAAAUUUGCUAGUCUUAUUGCUGUUCUCAAAAUACCUGAUUUUGUGCUUGCAGCAAGAUAAAAUCUCUUUCUUCAAGUUGUGAUUCAGUUUUAAUCUUGGUUGUACCAGCAUCUUCUUACCUGGGAUUUUAGUUAUUUCUGUUCCUUUUCAGAUUCGGUGUGAUAUUCAAUAUGGCACGGCUUGUCCUGGAUGACUUCAGAAGUGGAUUUGAGAAGGGGCCUUGGUGGCAACGCCUUCUCAAUGGCUAUAGUAUUACUACAUGGAUGGUGGUUUUGAAUCUAGGAUCCACUGGCUUACUGGUUUCAUGGUUGAUGAAGUACGCUGACAACAUUGUGAAGGUAUAUUCCACGUCAAUGGCAAUGUUGCUGACAAUAGUUUUAUAGAUUUACUUUUUAGCUUCAGGUCUGCAUUGCAGGUGAUUCUCUAUUGACUCACUAGUUGUGCGAGUCUUAGGAUCCUCUCCUUUAGCAUCGAGUGGUUUGUAUUUUAUGUAACCUAUGCUUGUUUUUAUUUUUCUGGUCUCGCUGCAGCUUUUCUUGGGUAUCAUCAUCUAUAUGUGCUCCAAACAUGAUCAUGGAUGCUCCUGAGAGCCUAAAAGAAGUCUCUCUCGAACGAUUCCUAAUGUUUUUCAUGCCUAGAAAGUAAUGCUUUUGCAGUUGCUCAAUAAAAGUUGCAUUGCAAAUGGUUUCAACUCAUAAGAUGCAACUAAGGGAAUAUAACACAAGUGGUUUUUGGCUAGCUUGUGUACAUAAACCAAUUUUAAGAACACCAUUCUCCUCCAGAACUAGCAAAUGCUGUCAAACUGAUUCGCCCAUCCGGUGAGACCUCAUGCAAGUUGCAAAAGGAAAAAGUAUUGUGAUCCAGGAUAUUUCAAAAGAUUUCGUCUCUAUCAUUUAGCGUAAGAAGCAAGAUUGUUUGCAAAUCACAUUCUUUUUGAAAUUUACUGGAAUAUACUUUGUGACAAAGCAAGCUUGUAAAACAAUAAUGGAGUAAAUUAACACGAGGACAGAAAUUUUAUCUUAUGAUUUAUUAAGUAGUAGAAUUAAUCAAGGCUUUUAACUUUCGCUGGAUUGGCAAAGAAGGUUAGGCAUGUAUUUUCUUCUCAUCAUGGGCUUUGUUCCACUAGUUGGAUUAUUAUUAGUUAAUCUUUUAAUUGAAUCUUUACAGGCUAAUCCCUUCCAGUUUGCCUUAGAUGCCUCGUGGGUACGUUGAUCAUUUGUCUUUUAUAACCAGUUGUUAAGUGUCGCAUUGGAAAACUAAGUCGCUGGAAAUUGGCAGAAUCUUACUCCAUGAAGGCAUAUGGGCCAACCAUUAUUUGUGAUUUGUGAUAAUGACUCCUAUAUUAUACAAAGAAGAACAGAACAAAUUCUGGAACAUUUCUCAACUUGAACCACUGUGGUACUGAAGAUACCUACUUGGCCACUUUUUCUGCAUCAGAGUUUAGCUCGGAUGAUUACUCAGUGUAACCACAAUAAUAAAUAAAAUAACCAAACUUUAUUGUUGUUAUAAAGUGGAAAUCUUUACAUAUUGGUGAUUUUUAAUACCAUUGGUAGGUAGGUCAAUAAUGCAAUAAGAAUUUUUUUUAUUUAAAAAAAAAAGAAAAAAAAAAUCCCAACCAUUGGAUUAGAUCAAAACUUGGCAUAAUUGGGACCAAACCGGUACCAGAGGAUCCUGUGGUCCGGUCUCAGCCAGUUCAAGCCAGGGACAGAUGGCCAAAUCUAGCUCAACCUAUCUGGAGUUAAUGCUGAGUUGAUUAAAUUAAGAUUCAGAUGUGGGCAUAUUUCCCUGCACCACCUCCCACAGUUAACAAGCUGGCCAAAUCAGGCCUCAUCUUAAAAGCCACAACAGAGAGACCAUGACUGGAAACAAAAUAGAGAGGGAUUAUUACCGUUGCUUCCUCACAAAGGAGUUC
This 3032-nucleotide unclassified non-coding RNA is filed under the name Hevea brasiliensis (rubber tree). Lineage: Eukaryota; Viridiplantae; Streptophyta; Magnoliopsida; Malpighiales; Euphorbiaceae. The record is from RNAcentral.